UGGGGAAUAUUGCGCAAUGGGCGAAAGCCUGACGCAGCAACGCCGCGUGAGGGAUGACGGCCUUCGGGUUGUAAACCUCUUUCAGCAGGGAAGAAGCGAAAGUGACGGUACCUGCAGAAGAAGCACCGGCUAACUACGUGCCAGCAGCCGCGGUAAUACGUAGGGUGCAAGCGUUGUCCGGAUUUAUUGGGCGUAAAGAGCUCGUAGGCGGUUAGUCACGUCGGAUGUGAAAACCCGGAGCUUAACUCCGGGCCUGCAUUCGAUACGGGCUGACUAGAGUGUUGUAGGGGAGACUGGAACUCCUGGUGUAGCGGUGAAAUGCGCAGAUAUCAGGAAGAACACCGGUGGCGAAGGCGGGUCUCUGGGCAACUACUGACGCUGAGGAGCGAAAGCGUGGGGAGCAAACAGG
Molecule: ribosomal RNA, 409 nt
Filed under: uncultured bacterium
Lineage: Bacteria
Description: bacterial SSU rRNA
Rfam family: Bacterial small subunit ribosomal RNA
Source: RNAcentral